AGCCGAUGUGGCUCAAUUGGCAGAGCAGCUGAUUUGUAAUCAGCAGGUUAUCGGUUCGAGUCCGAUCAUCGGCUUCCA
This 78-nucleotide transfer RNA is filed under the name uncultured Clostridium sp. RNAcentral describes it as "tRNA-Thr(tgt)". It matches the Rfam family "tRNA". From Rfam's summary of the family: Transfer RNA (tRNA) molecules are approximately 80 nucleotides in length. Their secondary structure includes four short double-helical elements and three loops (D, anti-codon, and T loops). Lineage: Bacteria; Bacillati; Bacillota; Clostridia; Eubacteriales; Clostridiaceae. The record is from RNAcentral.